This 465-nucleotide ribosomal RNA is filed under the name uncultured bacterium. RNAcentral describes it as "bacterial SSU rRNA". It matches the Rfam family "Bacterial small subunit ribosomal RNA", at positions 28 to 507 of the family's 1533-position model. The record is from RNAcentral. RNAcentral also lists the same sequence under 1 other name.
GACGAAUGCUGGCUGCGUGCUUAACACAUGCAAGUCGAACGGUGAAGGAGGGCUUGCCCUCCGGAUCAGUGGCGAACGGGUGAGUAACACGUGGGCAACCUGCCCCUCACUCUGGGAUAACGCCGGGAAACCGGCGCUAAUACCGGAUACGACCAGAAGCGACAUCUCUUCUGGUGGAAAGAACUUCGGUGAGGGAUGGGCCCGCGGCCUAUCAGCUAGUUGGUGAGGUAACGGCCCACCAAGGCGACGACGGGUAGCCGGCCUGAGAGGGCGACCGGCCACACUGGGACUGAGACACGGCCCAGACUCCUACGGGAGGCAGCAGUGGGGAAUAUUGCGCAAUGGGCGAAAGCCUGACGCAGCGACGCAGCGUGAGGGACGAAGGCCUUCGGGUUGUAAACCUCUUUCAGCGGGGACGAAGCGAAAGUGACGGUACCCGCAGAAGAAGCACCGGCUAACUACGUG